This 301-nucleotide ribosomal RNA is filed under the name uncultured bacterium. Its description in RNAcentral is "partial 16S ribosomal RNA". It matches the Rfam family "Bacterial small subunit ribosomal RNA", at positions 509 to 807 of the family's 1533-position model. The record is from RNAcentral.
CAGCCGCCGCGGUAAUACGUAGGGUGCAAGCGUUAAUCGGAAUUACUAUGCGUAAAGCGUGCGCAGGCGGUUUUGUAAGACAGAGGUGAAAUCCCCGGGCUCAACCUGGGAACUGCCUUUGUGACUGCAAGGCUAGAGUACGGCAGAGGGGGAUGGAAUUCCGCGUGUAGCAGUGAAAUGCGUAGAUAUGCGGAGGAACACCGAUGGCGAAGGCAAUCCCCUGGGCCUGUACUGACGCUCAUGCACGAAAGCGUGGGGAGCAAACAGGAUUAGAUACCCCGGUAGUCCCUGUCUCUUAUAC